This 1245-nucleotide long non-coding RNA is filed under the name Papio anubis (olive baboon). RNAcentral's name for it is "lncRNA (ENSPANG00000049226.1)". Lineage: Eukaryota; Metazoa; Chordata; Mammalia; Primates; Cercopithecidae. The record is from RNAcentral.
UGCUCCUACCCUUUUGUUUGUUUGCUUUCUUCUUUUUCUUUUUCUUUUUGAUAUAGGGUCUCGCUUUGUCACCCAGGCUGGAGUGCAAUGGUACAAUCAUAGCUCACUGAAAACUCAAACUCUGGGGCUCAAGCCAUCUUCCUGCCUCAGCCUCCCAAGUAACUAGGUCUAUAAGCACACACCACCACCCCUGGCUACCCAGCUAAUAUAUGUAUGUGUAUAGAUGGAUGUAUCUUUUUUUUUGUAAAUAUAUUUUGUCUGUUUGUGGAGACAGGCUUUUAUUGCCCAUGCUGGUCUCAAACUCCUGGCCUCAAGCAAUCCUCCUGCCUUGGCCUCCCAAACUGCUGGGAUUACAGGAAUGAACCAUCUUGCCCAGCUACGUUUUUCUUUUGCCCCUUCCUUCCUUCUUUGCUUUCCUUUUCCUUCCUUCCUUCCUUCCUCCCUCCCUCCCUCCCUCCCUUUUUUUCUUCCUUCCUUCUUUUUUUUUCCUUUGAGACAGGGUCUCUCUCUGUUGCCUAGGCUGGAGUGUGCAGUUGCACAAUCUCAGUUCACUGCAACCUCCUCCUCCCACGCACAACCAAUAUUCCCACCUCAGCCUUCCAAGUAGCUGGAACUACAGGUACAAGUCACCACGUCCAGCUAAUUUUUGUAUUUUUGUAGAGAUGGGGUUUGGCUAUUUUGCCCAAGCUGGUCUCAAACUGGGCUGGCGUGCAGUGGCACAAUCUCAGCUCACUGCAAGCUCUGCCUCCAGGAUUAAUGCCAUUCUCCUGCCUCAGCCUCCCGAGUAGCUGGGACUACAGGCGCCUGCCACCACGCCCGGCUAAUUUUUUUGUAUUUUUAGUAGAGACGGGGUUUCACCUCAUUAGCCACGAUGGUCUCGACCUCCUGACCUUGUGAUCCGCCCGUCUCGGCCUCCCAAAGUGCUGGGAUUACAGGCGUGAGCCACCGUGCCCGGCCGAGUCUAAAAUUUCUAUCUUCAGUCCUGACAUCUCCCCUGGUUUCAGAUGUCUAGUCCACAUCUCCCUUUGUAUGUUUAAUUAAAGUGGCUUUCACAUGUACAGAAAAGGACUUUUAACUAUCCUAGCCUUGUCCAUCUAAUUAAACCACUAUUUACCCUGUUGUUGAAGCCAUUUCAUAGUCUUUUGUUUCUGUACCUCUCCAUAUCCCUUCUCUCUCCAAAGACUAGCUUUUCUGCUGUGUAUUACUUUCCUAGUGCUGGUGGCCAGGGCUGGAUCCCAAUUCCAG